UAGGGAAUCUUCCACAAUGGACGCAAGUCUGAUGGAGCAACGGCCGCGUGAGUGAAGAAGGUUUUCGGACCGUAAAGCUCUGUUGUUGGUGAAGAAGGAUAGAGGUAGUAACUGGCCUUUAUUUGACGGUAAUCAACCAGAAAGUCACGGCUAACUACGUGCCAGCAGCCGCGGUAAUCGUAGGUGGCAAGCGUUGUCCGGAUUUAUUGGGCGUAAAGCGAGCGCAGGCGGAAGAAUAAGUCUGAUGUGAAAGCCCUCGGCUUAACCGAGGAAUUGCAUCGGAAACUGUUUUCUUGAGUGCAGAAGAGGAGAGUAGAACUCCAUGUGUAGCGGUGGAAUGCGUAGAUAUAUGGAAGAAUACCAGUGGCGAAGGCGGCUCUCUGGUCUGCAACUGACGCUGAGGCUCGAAAGCAUGGGUAGCGAACAGGAUUAGAUACCCUGGUAGUCCAUGCCGUAAACGAUGAGUGCUAAGUGUUGGGAGGCUUCCGCCUCUCAGUGCUGCAGCUAACGCAUUAAGCACU
RNAcentral lists this ribosomal RNA (521 nucleotides) under uncultured bacterium. RNAcentral describes it as "partial 16S ribosomal RNA". It matches the Rfam family "Bacterial small subunit ribosomal RNA", at positions 355 to 868 of the family's 1533-position model. The record is from RNAcentral.